UACAGAGGUCCCAAGCGUUGUUCGGAUUCAUUGGGCGUAAAGGGUGUGUAGGUGGCGCCGUGAGUCGGGUGUGAAAUUUCGGAGCUUAACUCCGAAACUGCAUUCGAUACUGCGGUGCUUGAGGACUGGAGAGGAGACUGGAAUUCAUGGUGUAGCAGUGAAAUGCGUAGAGAUCAUGAGGAAGACCAGUGGCGAAGGCGGGUCUCUGGACAGUUCCUGACACUGAGACACGAAGGCCAGGGGAGCAAACGGG
This 253-nucleotide ribosomal RNA is filed under the name uncultured bacterium. RNAcentral's name for it is "partial 16S ribosomal RNA". It matches the Rfam family "Bacterial small subunit ribosomal RNA", at positions 524 to 776 of the family's 1533-position model. The record is from RNAcentral.